UACAAUAAUCACAUUUGAUACACACACAUUGGAGAUAGAGCGGAAGACUUUUACAAAGUACACUUUACAUUCCAGAACUCAAGUUUUACAUGGUAGAAAGAGAUGUAUUUAUUACAAGUCCUGAUAGUACUCGAAGUGCAUAACUUAUUACAAUAAUUGGAAGGGUGAAGCCUUUCCAUAAGAGAUAUAUAAAAACAUUCUAAGCUUCAAGUCCUCCACAUGAAGUAACUAACCCAAAGAUAAGGGAAUAAAACUUCUCCUACAAAAACAACAAGGGAUAAAACCCUGAGUACGCAAUUACUCAGCAAGACUUACCCGAUUAAAGAAAAGACUCUCAAGGGUAUGCUGGCUUUUGGGAAUCAAGGUAAAGCUCAUCAAAGUUCAAGGACUCAUUUUGCAGAAAAGCUUACUAGAAGUGGGUCCUUAAGCCAAGUUUUAUUUCACAAGUUAGUUUAUUACCUGAAUCUUCUAGCCUGAAUCUAGCAUUUUCCUAAUCUAGAUCAUUCACUUGACCUACACUAGGUUGCUUUUAAAAUCCAAAUUUUGUUUCGCUUGUUAUCUACGAUGAAGGGCAGCGAUCCAGUCUUCAUAUCCGAGAAGUAACGGCGAUCCGAAUCGAUUAAUACCCAGCUAGGGAUCUCCAGCCACACGACAUAUGUAGCACUUAACCCUUGCAUAUGUCUACCAUUCCCAUGGGUCCUCCACUACGUGAACCGGUCCGCGCCACCCGAGAGUACGGUACUCCACCAUCCAGCCACGUGUCAGGUGGGUACACGCCACUCCCGCCAUCUCUCCACUCCCAGUGCGCGAUUGUCUUUUCACAUAUGGAGUAGCCGGGUUCAGGCUUACCCAUGAUGAGGUAUGUGGCCAGUUAAAAGGUCCUAGAUCAACAAGCCUACAAUCGGUACGGUCCUUGAUCGACACAGACGAGCGACCUGUCCAGCUCAACGUCUGGUCUCAUUUUAAACAAAUUCUCAAAGUUUGAUACCUGGCAGAGGUACCCUGCUUGAAUGAUGAAUUCAUCCCCGUGGAGGAUGGCUCCAUCAUCCCAAGCCCUUUUUCUUUUUAAAAAUCAUGAGUCAUAGAUCAAAAACAUUUUUCUUAAUCUAUAAGCAUAACUAAGCAUUACUAGUUUUUAUAAAACAGGUAACAAGGUAUGAUAAUCAAUCUUUCAAGGAUGGUAAUGCAUCAAGUGUUUAAUCAUUCAACUCCUAUUACCUAAUGCAGCAUAUAAGUGAUAAAAUUUUGUAAUACAAGGAAGGUGGCAAAUGCACCGGGGCUUGCCUUAGUUGCAGAGACAGAGGUCUAAAUCCCUCUAUUAAACCCCAGUUAGAUGGCUCCCAUCACUUGAUGAGCAGGCACUGAAGCAGACUCCUCUUCAGAAACCACUUCUUGAAUUUCAUCUUCUUCUUCUGGGAAUUCUACAUGUAAAGAUAUGAACAUGAAUGCUUAUGCUGAUGCAACUUGAAAAUAAAAUACUAAAAAGCAUCACAAGACUUACACCUCUCUAAACGUGCACACAAAAACUAAUAAAACCUUAAGAGAGCUAAAUACUUAAAUAUCACAACUCAAUUCACCAACUAAACUAGGAAACCUUGCCUCCGUAACCAACCAAGCACUUCAUUUAUGCCUUAAGCAAGGAUCCAAACUGCAUGCACUACAAGUUAUAGUGUCCAAGAAUCAGUCACAAUUCACUGAACCUGCUUUCAGUUCUCUGAAUUCAUCUUCCAUUGCUCCAUUCCUCUCCCCAAUUUCUUCACCGUAACAAGCCCAACUAUUCACAUGAAACUUGUUUGCCUUACCUUGGUAUUUCACUUUGUUAUGGAACUCCUAACCUAAAACCCCAUGAUUUGGUCACCAAAGAGCUCCAAACUGAGCACCAACAGUGAAAUUCCAGUUUUCAGUUAACUGAAUCCAGUUCAUUAGCAAUACCGCUCCCUUUUGCUUUCUUCUUUGUUCAAGCCCAGAUAUCUAACAAUUCUUCUCAACAACCAACCAACCUUUGUGAACCAAUAUUACUCUCCUACUAUAGCCCUUCCCAUUUGGUAUAAAACCCCUAAGCUGAAAAUACUUAGAACAGUAGCUAUGGUGCACAAAAGUUAGAGCAAAACACUGAAAAGUUCAGUUCCUUGAUCUGAAACAGCACCUUACCAUGUCUGAUAGAGAGUUUUGCAAUAGGCUUUUCUCAAAAUUCCAUAAAUCAACAAGCCAAUCUACUUGUAUAAAACUGGUUCUCCUACACUUAGGUCUUUCACCUUUCUAUAAAACUCUUAACCCAAUUCUGGUUUGAUUAAUUACCACAGAGCUCCAAAGUUGACUAAACAAUACCCUAAACAGGUUUUCAGUUAGCUGAAACAGCCCACUCCAAGUCUGACAGAAGGUUUUGUAACACUAUUUUCUCGCAAUUCCAUAUGAGGGCUCAAUGUAUUUCCUUACUAUGAAUGGUUCCUCUAUAAUCUCUCUCCAUCUUUGUUACAACAGCUACUAGCUAACCCUAAACAGAUCUCAAGUUACAGAGCACCAAACUUGAGGUGGAAACGCAAAGGCUAAAUUUCAGCUAACUGAAAAAGACCUGAACACAACACCUGACAUAGAAAAUUGCAGCACAUAUUUCUCCAUAUUUUACACAGUAGUAAGCCCCACUCCUCUGAUGAAGCUUGUUCACCUUCAUCUGGUCUUUGACUUUUCUAUACAACUGGUAACUCAAAACCUCAUGAACUGGUCAUAGGAGAGCUCCAAACUGAGCAAUCUGCUGCAAUCCAGUUUUCAGCUAAUCUGAACAAAAAUUCAGUCAGUGCAAACUCACAGUCCAUUUUUGGGCAGCUUUCACUCUAUUUUCCAUACACACCCAAACCAAACCUACUUAAGGAGAAUGGUUUACCAUCAUAUGAGCUUCUCUAUCUUAUGCAGAGCACAAAAUAUGCACAACUCGACUGAGGAAACCUUUGAAGUUACCUGGUCACGGCGAGGUGGACUGAUUGCCGACGAUGGUCACCACCUAGGGACUGGUACACCAAGCUCUGGGCAGAUGGACCAAGAUAUUGGGAGGGGAUUAACUCCGGGGAAACAUAGGCUACAAGAGCCAAGGAGAUCACUCGAGCUCUAGGACUGCACGGCCUACUGGACCAUGACUUAAGUAGGAGAUGGGAAGACUAGGGCAGAUCGAGUUGGUGGCUGGGAAGAGGAGCCUAGACUUACAAACACGAACCGCUAAGACACCAAGUGAAGCAACUAAAACGUGAGAACAGCAGGGAUUACAAUAGCAGUAUUUAAGCAAAGGGAUGGGAGACAGAUGUUCCAGAGCUCGGCCAGGACAUGAUGGAGGAGGACGCCGGGGACGCCAGCAGCCCCACGAUUAUGGACACGUAGCAGGAGUGCAUGGACAGCACAUAGGAGGUAAACGCAGGGGUGAUGAACCUCAUCCACGGCUGGGCACAAGACGACAAGCAGACAGGAGGAUGUGUCUGUUGUGAUCAAUCUAGUACAAGUUCAAUACAGUCCUUAGCUAGUAAACCAAGUCUCACGACCCUACCUCAUACCAGCCUUCACUUAUCCAAACAUUCCCUGGAAACCCAUGGAGUCCGUAGUGGGUGAAGAUCUUUACUGCAGAUAUUUUUGAUCCAUAUUGGACUGCCACUGCUCCACUUCACUUCUUCAUGUUCAGUGCCCUUAAUCUCACAAUUUCAUACAAUAACUAACCCUUCUUCCUUAACCAAAUUUAGUCACCAACUACAACCCUACCAACUUGGUAUAGCACCCCAAGGCUGCAACUAUACAGAACACAAGUUAUAGGCACCAAACUGGAGCCAAAAAGCACUGAAAAGUGCAGUUUCCGAUUAACUGAAGCAGCCCAAAACAGUCUGUCAGAGGGAGUUUAGAUGCAUACUACUCCAUAGUUUGCAUGAUACUAGGUCCAUCUCACUUUAGGAGACGUUUACCUCUUUAUUUGGUCUCUAAUUUCACUAUAUGAUUCUCAGUCCAAAUCUCAAUAGAAUGGUCACACUAGCACCACAAACUGGGUAUCAAGCACUGAAAUUUUGGUUUCAGCUGACUGAACUGAGUUCAGUCACAACCACUUUGACAGAGAAGAUUGGGAUAUACUUUACUCCUAGGUUUAUGUAGAACCAAGUCUAACUCUCUUUAGGAAACUUGUUCUCUGUACUAUGAGCUCCAACUUUUCUAUGGAAACUUUAGUCCAAAACCACUUGGAUUGAUCACAAAUGAGCUACAAACUGGGCACCAUUUACUGAAUUUCAGUUUUAGUUAACUGAACCAAUUUCAGUCACCAGUAACCCAAUAGUCCAUUUUCAGUUUACUUUUUCUCCACUUUUUGUGUAGGAUCAUAUCCAUCACCCGUAAAUACAUUUGUACACCAACUUAUGGUCUUCAAUUCCUCUAUAGAAACCAUAGCUCAAAACCUUAUGGAUUAUUCACAAGGAAGCUCCAAAGUAUGUCACAAUCACUGAAAUUCAGUUUUCAAUAACUGAAUAUAAUUAAGUUUCAGCCACAACACAGUCCCACUUUAAGCAGUUGUUACUCCAAUUCUUGUAUGGGAUCAUGUCCAUCACCCUUUAAGGAAGUUGUUCACCAAUAUAUGGUCUUUACUUCCUUCAUAAACAUCACAACCCAAAACCCUCUAGAUCAGCCAAAAACAGGCUCUAAAACAGCUAUCAAAACACAGAAAUCUGAUUUCAGACACUGUUCACAACCUGAAAUUUAAAAGUCUGACAGCCUCACUUUGGAUCACCUUUUUUCUCCUAGUUGUAUAUAGUUCGAGGGCUGUGACACUUAAUAACAGUUGUUCUCUCAUACUUAUUCUACAAGUUUCCUAUAGUGGUCAUUAACCAAAACCUCUUGGAUUCCAAACUACAAUAGCUCAAAGUUUGCUCCAAUUGCUGAAAUUCAGAAUCUGAAUUUCACUAAGUCUGAAACCUACAAUUUCUGACAGCUUUACUUUGGACCAGGUUUUCUCUAAGUUCCAAACAGUUUUAGUGCUAGGUGACUUAACCAAACUUAUACUCCUCAUGUAGCUCUAUAAUUUUGUUACAAUGACCAUCUUCAAACUGUUUAUAGAUCAAAAGUUAUGAAGGCCCAAAAACAGCUAGUUGAUAUUAUUUUCAACAAACUUCAAAUCUGAUUCAAAACUGAAUUAAGCUUUUUACUCCAACUUUUCCUCUCAAACUUGGAAUUCUCCAUACAUGAAAGUUGUUCAACUUUCCAAAAUCUACAACUUUGAUGUAUGGACCGCUAGCAAAUUCUCUCUAGAUUUAAAACUCCACUUUUGGGCUAGUUGAGGGUUUCAUUUGAGUUUGCCUUUCUCCAGACAAAUAUCUUCCAGUCUGAUCCCUCACUUAAAGCAAGGUUGCACUUUACCUCAAAGUCCAAUUUUGAUACUUGGAUUUCAUGGCCAAGGCAUUUUUAGCUUAGAAGUAGUUUGCUCUCACUCAACCACUCACUAACUCUUCAAACUCUUUAGCUCAUAUCAAUGCAACACACUAUCUUUGUUUCAAAAUUUUUAGACCUAGUAGAUGCACUCUAGGUGUAUCAAGCAAGAUAAUGCAAGUGCUUAUGAUGACAUGUCAGAAUUUUAGUUAUCGUAACACCAGGGGUGUUACACCUCCGAUCAUCGACCCCAGCAACGACGGCCGCCCUCUCCUCAUGGCUGAGAACGGGGAGGUCGGGGAUGACCACGGGUGGCGGCGCCUCAACCAUCCCGACGUCGGCGGCGACGGGCGGCUCCGCGGGCGAAUCAGCGACGGCCCCGACAGGAGUCGAUGCCGGCACCGGUAACAAGUCAGGCGGGCUCGGGGCCGCGGCCGCGUCAACGGCCUCCCCUGACAUGAUGGCCGCUCCAACAGGGGGUCAACCUGGGAGGCUUGCCCCAGGGCAACCCGUGCCGCCUGGGCCCCCCGCCGGAGGGCGCCUUGUGCGGAGGCCAGCCAACCGGCGUGGCACGCCGCAGCACCGGCUGCAGAAGCCGACUUCAUCUUAAGGGCCAUCGUGGGGGCCAGACCGGCCGAGCCCUGCCUCCGCUUGCUGAAAGAAAGAGAGAGAGCAAGUUCAAGACACACAGUGCAAAAAACCAAACAGAGGUAUCCUCAGAUACUUACCUGCUUCGGGGCAAGGCCAAUCGUGCAUGCGGGGAGGCCCCUCGGGCCCCGGUCUCCGCAGGCGCUGCCGAGGGUUGCCCCGCUGCCGGCUUCGGCGCCGCUUCCGCCUCGGGCGCCCGAGGCGCCGAAGGCGCGGCCUGUCCAGGCGUUGUCACGACGGCUGGGGGACCAACCUCCUGUAUAGCCGGCACGGGCACCUGCCCUUGGGGGGCAUGCGGUUCGGCCUGACCCCCCGGAGUCACCCCAAUUAUCUCAGCCAAGGGGUCAAGUACCCCCUCGGCCUGCCUCCGCUCCUCGGACCGGGACCUUGGUGUCCCGGCCCCAGGCACUUGCGGUGCCAGCCCACUUGGAGGCUGGCUCGGCGACCCCUGGCCUAGCCUCGGGUCCGGGCUGAGGCCAAGUCGGGCCGCCAUGUCAUCGUCUUCGUCAUCAUCAUCAUCAUCACCAUCAUUACCUGUUACCGGAGUAAUCUAGAUGGGACACCGGUCUUGUUCCUUCGUAGCCUAAGGCAGCUAGCUAGGGGUAGGGUAAUGAUGUAUCCCCUGUGGCGCGGUCGGUCCGAACCCGAGGUCGGGCGAGGCGGAGACUUCUCCCGAGGUCGAGGCCGAGGUCGGGCGAGGAUGUGACUCUUCCUGAGCCUGAGGCUGAGGCCGAGGCCUGGGGUCGGGCGAAGCGGAGACCUUCUCCCGAGGCCGAGGCUGAGGCCGAGGCCUGAGGUCAGGCGAGGCGGAGCUCCCUGUUGCGCCCGAGGCUGAAUUCGAGGGAGAUCGUGACUCAGUUUUACCCUGGUGGUUGGCACAGUAGUCGGAACGGGGUGAAUAGCGCUGUUUUCUUGUCAGAACGGUCAGUAAAGGGGCGAAGUGACUGGGGUCACUUCGACCUUGCCGACUGAGGCGCGCGUGUCAGGAUAAGGUGUCAGGCGAUCCCCACAUUAAAUGCGCAUGCGAUACGGUCGGUUGGUAAGGCGAUUUGGCCGAGGUCGUUGUACGACAAAGUCUGCCCGAGCUUGGCUUCGGGCGAGCCGAGGGUGCACCCACUGCCUGAGGAUGCCCUCGGGCGAGGCGUGAAUCCGUCCGGGACUACUGCUCUUGCCUAAGGCUGGGCUCGGAUGAGAUCACGUUCCUUGGUAGACGAGGCCUUGACUUGAACCGUGCUUAUCAGUCUUUACGGUUUGUUCUGAAGAUGUUUUCCAGCCAGGUUAAGGAGCAUUGGGGGUACCCCUAAUUACGGUACCCGACAGUAGCCCCCGAGCCUCGAAGGGAGUGUAGGUACUCGCUUGGAGGUUCUGCCAGAUUUCUUGCAAGGGGACCAGCCUUUCUCGGUUAUAUUUUGUUCCGAUGGGUGCGCACGAGCGCACCCGUCGGGUGUAGCCCCCGAGGCCUCAGAGGAGUGGUUUAACUUCUCUGAGGUCUUAAUUCUUUUUGUGAUGCCUCGGUCGGCCUUGUUGUUCCCUCAUGCGGCCUGGCCACAGCCUGGGUGCAUGGUUAGGCUCCGAGUUUUUAAGCUGGUUUGUUGACGUGGUCAACAGUUUGGUCGUAGCCUGGUGCGAGAGCAGCCCCCAAGCCUCUGCACGGAUGGAGAGGACGAUCAAGGACCGUCUCGAAUUUUAUUGUACGCCCCUUCAUCUCCUUUCCUCAAGGAGGAAGGGGGGGGGGAAGCGCCAUGUUACCCUCGGAGGGCACCGAACACGGUGUUUCCAGUGAGUUGCUAUCGGGUGAUCCGAGUGGACACCCGAGCCCCGUUCGAUAAGGGUCGGCUAGUGGCCUAGAGGCGCGCUCCAAAAGUACCUGCAGGUGAUUUGCUAGACCCGGACCCAUUUGAUAGGGUCCGAGGGCUCGGUGCCUCCCUCUGGUGGGAUUCCAUUACAAAUCAUUCCCGCUGGUCUCGGAAAUGUCCUAGGGUACCUCGGGAGCGUAGCCCGAGCCUCGGCCAUGUAACGGACGUACCCAGGGUCAUCCCUGACUCUGCGCGCUCUGGGGCGGCUGUCGAACCCUUCCAAGGGGCUAGCCUUCGAACCCCUGAUUAGUAAAGGGCUCGGAGCCCGAGUGCUCUGGGGCAGUUGCCGAACCCCGCAGGGCGCAACCUUCGAACCCCUGAUCAGUAGGAGGGCUUGGGACCCGUUUCCUUCGCUGAGAAGGAUCCUUUUCGAAAUAUCCCCUUUCCCGGUCCCUGUGGCAAGAGAGAGAGAGAGAGGAAAAGGAAAAGGAUAUAAAUUUAAAUAAUGUGGCGCACCUUUUUUGACGCGGUCAUGAAAGGGAAAUGUGCCCUUGGGCCAUUUCUAAGUGUUUUGGUGAUUUAGUGUCCAACACAAGUGCUUAAGUGUUAAUAUAUGCAAAGAGGUGGACAAAGUGCAAAUCAUGUCAAAAGGUAUAUUUCUAGACUUAGUACAUUAUUUUAUGGACUAAUGUAUUGUGUCUAAGUGCUGGAAACAGGAAAAAUCGAAUUGGAAAUGAGAUGGCUUUGUUCAGCCAAAGUCUGCUCAGUCUGGGAGCACCGGACUGUCCGGUGCGCCAGGCUGGCUCGAGCGAACUGGCCGCUCUCGGGAAUUCACCGGCAACGUACGACUAUAAUUCACCGGACUGUCCGGUGUGCACCGAACUGUCCGGUGAGCCAACGGUCGGCCGCGCGAUCUGCGCGGGACACGUGGCCGAGCCAACGGCUAGAAGGGGGCACCGGACUGUCCGGUGUGCACCGGACAUGUCUGGUGCGCCAACGGUCGGCUUCGCCGUAGAAGGAAAGAAAUCGGGCACCGGACACUGUCCGGUGUGCACCGGACUGUCCGGUGCGCCAGGCGACAGAAGGCAAGAAUUGCCUUCAUGGAAUGCUCUCAACGGCUCCUAGCUGCCUUGGGGCUAUAAAAGGGACCCCUAGGCGCAUGGAGGAGCACACCAAGCAUUCCUUGAGCAUUCUUGAUCACUCACACUCCAUUCUUGCGCACUUGUUCGACAUUCUAGUGAUUUGAGCUCCGUUCUAGUGUGCUAGUCUUUUGAGCUUAAGUCUGGGUCUUGUGUGUGCGUGUUUGCUGUGAUCUUUGUGUCUUGUGUGAGUUGCUCAUCCCUCCCUUACUCCGUACUUCUUUGUGAACAUCUUUGUAAGGGCGAGAGACUCCAAGUUGUGGAGAUUCCUCGCGAACGGGAUUAAGAAAAGCAAAGCAAAACACCGUGGUAUUCAAGUGGGUCUUUGGACCGCUUGAGAGGGGUUGAUUGCAACCCUCAUCCGUUGGGACGCCACAACGUGGAGUAGGCAAGCGUUGGUCUUGGCCGAACCACGGGAUAACCACCGUGCCAUCUCUGUGAUUGAUAUCUUUGUGGCUAUUGUGUUUUGUUGAGACUCCUCUAGCCACUUGGCAUUAUUGUACUAACGCUUAACCAAGUUUUUGUGGCUUAAGUUUCAAGUUUUACAGGAUCACCUAUUCACCCCCCCCUCUAGGUGCUCUCAGGUCAUCAUGACGGAGGUGAAACGGCGCCCGCUUCGCCUGCCAGAGGUGUCGCUUGCCCUGCCAGGGAGUUAAUGCGACGGGACGGGAGAUUUGCGGGGCGUAUGUUGUGCGUGCGCGAGUCGUUCAAGGAACGGAACACGGGUGCGUCGUCUUUAUGCCGUGGGAGAGGGCUCCCCUGCCGCUUCAGGAGAAGAUGCGAGCUUGUAGGUGAUUGGACCGCUGCUUCCGCACGUCUGUUGCUGUAAUUACUGCCGGCCCGUCUUUGGUCAUAUCAACCGUCGUGCCUAUUCCCGCGGCCGACCGACCCGUGACCGUCGCACUUAAUUGGCAUUGUUGGGUCAUGCGCGGGGCUGCCUCGAGUCGCUGCACCUGUUCUGCAGUCGAGAAGACGCGGCAUUGGCGCAAGUGGCGGUGCGGUUUCCUUGCACGUAGCAACCGGCGCGCCGGUUACACGACAUGUGGGCCCGGGCCUCCAUGCUGGACCGCCGGAUGCGACGAAGCCGAAAGGGUGCACAACCGUGGUGCGUUUCAUGCUUCUUGCGUGGCGGUCCUCCCUUUCGACCGUCGGUUUCGGCGAGGAUGAGGGAGUGCUUAUAACCGCGGGGCGGUUACAUGCUUCAUGUGCGGCAGUUUGCCUUCUUCGCAUUUCGGGUCAGCUCGUAUGACAUGUGGGACCCAGCCCCCGUGUCGUAGGGUGAGAACCCUGGAGCACGUCGGUGGAGACUUUGCCCGUGACGCUUGGGGGUGCGAGUGAGGAGAUCUGCCUUUAAAAAGGGAUCGAUCCCCUGGGCGGUAGCCAUGCCUUCGCACUCCUUGCAUUCAUCGCGUCUUUCCACCUUCCGAGCCCCCAGAUGGGGUGCAUCUGUGUUGCCUUCUUCUUGCUGCUGUUGGAGGAGCGCGACCUCGUGGGGGUUGGCGCUCUUCAGUCAUCGCUCGGCUUCAAGGAUUUUCAUCAUGCAGCCCGGCUGCAGUCCCCCGCCGGCGGUCACCCAGGAUGAUGAUCGUAGGCCUCGUGGUGGGGAAGAGCGAGCCGGGCAGUGGCCUCCCCCUGCCCUCAGCUUCAAGGAUGUUCAUCAUCCGUGCUGGGGAGGAGGGUGUGCCGAGUUGGGUCCCGCCGCCGCGUGGGCAGCGGCCCGCUCCUUCCCUCAGUGUUCGGGGGAGAAGGGCGUUCGCCGUCCAUGGCGCUAUCAGCUGCCGCGUGUCUGGCUCCCUGGCCUGAGCGGCUCUGGUGCUGCUUCCGGUGCCGCCUCCUACCGCUGGGGCGGAGCGUGGCUGCCCGUCCGCCGCACGGGUGUCGGUUGCGCCGUGCGCGGGCCGGCCACGUCCAGGUCCUUCCUGCGCCGCUGGCUGCACCGGGGGGUCGCACAACACGUCGUACGCCGCGAGGGCGGUGUUCGUGUUCUAGGACAAUCUCGUCCUCGCUCCUUUGGCGAGGACGGGAGUGAGGACCUGUCGGUGCGCGCUGGGGUGGCCGCCGUUCGCCGGUGCAGUGUUGGUGGGCAGGUGGCCGCUGUCGUCGGUGCUGAGGUGGUGGUCACCAUAGGUGAGGCUUUCCCCUGCAGAAGCGGUUGCCUCCGCCGACGAGACCGUCAGUGCCACCUGCGCUCUGGACCUCCAGCUCUUUGGCUUUAAUGGCUGGUUCUCGUCCCUCGUAGGGGGACGUGGGCGAGGGCCUUUUCACAGUAGCGUUUGCCCUGAGGCAAUCGCUGCUGCUGUCUAGCCGCCCGAGGCGGAGGUCGUUGUCGCUGCUGGUGCAGUGGUCACCGGCGAGCCGCUUGGAGUUCGUUAUCUCGCAGCCCCUCUGGUGUGGAGGUAGUUCAUUCCUGUGGGAAUGGAGCUGGAGUCCCGUUUGUAAGGGAAUGUACUGGUAUUUGCCUGAGAGCAAAAUGUAAUUGCUUCAAGUACUAAGACGUCUGUCGUAGGUCGGGAAAACCGCCGAGGGCGCUGCCGACGUCUAAGUCUAGAUACCAUAGUUACCCUAAGUAUGUGUGUUUGUUCUUUGUGGCUGCUGAGGCCUGAACAUUUGGGUAUAAAGCCAUGCUUCUUUCCUAUUGUUUCGAGCAUUAGGACUUGUUCGACGGUAGCAGAAUCACUUAUCCGAGCGUGAGCUACCCUUCGCUGAAGGUGACGAGUGAGGUAUCCGUAUCCCGGAGGCGUAGGAGUCCCUCGGCUCGGUCGGCCUUGCCGUUCAAGGUCUCUCUCGCUCGUGUUUAGGAUUCCGUUAUCGACGCAGUCGAAAGGCACGCCCAAGCUAUGGCCUUACAGCAGCGUGCUCGGGCCGAAGGUAUGUUUUGCCCGCUUUGUGACUUUGUUUUUGUCUCCAUUCUUCACCUCGUGUUUGAAGAAUUUUGUUCGGCUGUCUGCAGGGUUCGAGACGGCUCUUAACGAGUCCGUCAAGAACUGCAAGGUGCUUGCCCAGGCGACUGAGCAGAAGGAGGCCGACCACGUGGCCAUGUCCGAGGCUAUCUCGGCCUUCUGCCGGGCCUUUGGCCUUGACGAUGUCCCCUCGGGUAGCUCCCCCAGAGUCACCUGCGGCCCUUGGGCGACCAUGUGCGCAGCAGACUCCGCGGGGCGCUGCACCACAGCGUUAGGCGGGCCUUCGCCGUGCUCGCUUCCCACUACGACGUGGAUCUGGAGUGGGUCAGCGAGGGGUACUGCUUACCCGACGAAGAGGAGGCCGCCUUAGCCGUGGUCUAGAGGCUUGACGUGGUUAUCGAGGGCCCAAGCGCGACGCUGGCUUCCUCCUUUGAGGUGGAGAUCCUUCCGCCCGUGUCACCGUCCGAGGCUGGGCUAGGUUCCGCUGAGGGUGGAAACGACGCCGAGGGUGCUGCUCCUCCCCCUGCCGAUGUCUGAUCCUGCAUGAACAAUUUGUUUUAAUUAUGCGUAUGUUUUUUUUGUGGCCGCUGAGGCCUAAACAUUUUUAUUGUCGGAUUAUAAAGCCGCGUUUUCUUUCCUCUCGUUUCGUGCGUUAGGACUUGUUCGUCGGUAGCAGAAUCACUUGUCCGAGCGUGAGUUACUUUUCGCGAAAGGCAUGAGUGAGGUAUCCGUAUCCCGGAGGCGUAGGAGUCCCUCGGCUCGGUCGGCCUUGCCGUUUACGUGUUCCUCCCGUCGUUUUUAGGAUCCUGUUAUCGAUAUAGUCGAAAAGCACGAAAGUCGUUUUGGUAGAAAACUUUUCUGAGGAAAAUUUUGACGCAGAGGGGGUUCCCCCCUUCUAGCCCCUGAGGGAGGGUCGGGCUUUGCCGAGGCAAGGCUGAUCCUUCCUUGAUGGUUAGACUUUAUUUAUGCAUGUAAAGAAAGCAAGAUACAUGAACGACUUGAAACAUUUUAAGGAUAGAAGCGACAUAGCUGUUGGAUGUUCCAAGCGUUGUUGUAGACCUCGCCUUCUUUGUUGGCCAGCUUGUUUGUCCCGGGCUUCAAAAUCUUGGCGAUGAUGAACGGCCCUUCCCAGGGAGGAGUAAGCUUGUGGUGCCCUCGGGCGUCUUGUCGUUGCCGAAGCACCAAGUCUCCCACUUGGAAGCCUCGGGGCUGAACCCUUCGGGCGUGGUAGCGUCGCAAAGACUGCUGAUACCGCGCCGAGUGUAGUAAGGCUACGUCCCGAGCCUCUUCCAGCUGGUCCAAUGAAUCUUCUCGGCUGGUCUGGUUUCUUCGGUCGUCGUAUGCCUUUGUCCUUGGGGAACCGUAUUCUAAGUCCGUGGGUAGGACGGCCUCGAUCCCAUAGACUAGAAAGAAAGGCGAGAAACCCGUGGCCCGGCUCAACGUCGUCCUCAGACUCCAAACCACCGAGGGUAGUUCUUUUAUCCACCGCUUGCCAAACUUGUUGAGGUCGUUGUAGAUCCUCGGUUUUAGUCCCUGCAAAAUCAUGCCAUUGGCGCGCUCCACCUGCCCAUUUGUCAUUGGGUGAGCUACGGCGGUCCAGUCCACACGGAUGUGGUGGUCUUUGCAGAAGUCUAGGAACUUUUUCCCAGUGAACUGCGUGCCAUUGUCAGUGAUGAUGGAGUUUGGGACCCCAAAGCGAUGGAUGAUAUUUGUAAAGAACGCCACCGCCUGCUCGAACCCGAUGCUGGUUAAGGGUCAGACUUCGAUCCACUUGGAGAAUUUGUCGAUGGCGACCAGCAGGUGCGUGAAGCCACCGGGUGCCUUCUACAAGGGACCGACGUGGUACAGACCCCACACGACAAGCGGCUAGGUGAUGGGUAGUGUUUGCAGGGUCUGAGCGGGCAGGUGCGUCUGUCUCGCGUAGAAUUGACACCCUCGGUAGGAGCGUACAAUCCUAGUGGCGUCGGCCAUCGCGGUCGGCCAGUAGAAGCCUUGUCGUAAAGCGUUUCCCACGAGGGCCCGAGGUGCUGCAUGGUGACCGCAAUCCCCCGAGUGUAUUUCUUGUAACAGCUCUUGUCCUUGGGCGACAGAUAUGCAUCGUUGGAGAAUGCCUGAGGGGCUGCGGUGGUACAACUCCUUUUCAUCACCCAGUAAAACGAAUGACUUGGCACGCCGAGCCAGUCACCGAGCUUCGGCCUUGUGGAGGGGCAGCUCUCCUCGGAGGAGAUAUUCUAGGUAUGGGGUCUGCCAGUUCUGGUUUGGUGUAACCCCAUUCUGCUCUACCUCGACGCGCAGGGCCUCACCCUCGGCGGCCGAGGGUACCUCGGGCUGGGCCGAGGUUACCUCGGGUUCGAGCGCGUCGUCGAGUUUGACGGAUGGUUGAUAUAUGUCCCUGGAGAAGACGUCCGGGGAAAUCGUGGUUCGUCCCGAGGCUAUUUUAGCCAGCUCAUCUGUAGUCUCGUUGUACCGUCGAGCAACAUGGUUGAGUUCCAGCCCAUAGAACUUAUGUUCCAAGUGCCGAACUUCGUCGUAGUAGGCCUCCAUUUUUCGAUCGCGGCAGUGGGAGUUCUUCAUGACUUGGUUAAUAACAAGCUACGAGUCACCACGAGCGUCGAGGCGCCGAACCCCUAGCUCGACGGCGAUGCGCAAUCCAUUAACCAAAGCCUCGUACUCGGUCAUGUUGUUUGACGUCGGAAAAUGGAGGCGUAUAACGUAGCGCACAUGUUUCCCGAGGGGCGAGAUGAAGAGCAACCAGCACCUGCUUCGGUUUUCAUAAGCGACCCAUCGAAGUACAUGGUCCAAAGUUCGGCCUGGGUUGGAGCUGUCGGCAAUUGGCUGUCGACCCAUUCAGCCAGGAAGUCUGCCAAGACUUGAGAUUUUAUGGCCUUCCGAGGGGCGAAUGAAAGUGUUUCGCCCAUGAGCUCCACUGCACAUUUUGCAAUCCUACCCGAGGCCUCUCGGCACUGGAUGAUCUCUCCCAAGGGAAGGAUGACACCACAGUCACCGGAUGAGACUCGAAGUAGUGUCGCAACUUUCGUCGUGUCAGAAUCACUGCGUACAGUAGCUUCUGGAUUUGUGGGUAGCGGAUCUUGGUCUCGGAUAGCACCUCGCUGAUGAAGUAGACCGACCUCUGGAUGAGCAGUGCAUGCCCCUCUUCUCGUCUCUCAACUACGAUCGCGCCGCUGACCACCUGAGUGGUUGCGGCUACGUAAAUCAAGAGGGCUUCUCCCGCAGCGGGGGGCACCAAGACGGGCGCAUUAGUAAGGAGUGCCUUUAAGUUUCUGAGGGCUUCUUCGGCCUCGGGGGUCCAAGUGAAGCGCUCGGCCUUCCUUAAGAGGCGGUACAAAGGCAAUCCUUUCUCGCCAAGGCGCGAGAUGAAGCGGCUCAGAGCCGCAAGGCAUCCCAUGACCCUUUGUACUCCCUUUAAAUCUUUGAUGGGCCCCAUGUUGGUGAUGGAUGCGAUUUUCUCCGGGUUGGCCUCAAUGCCUCGUUCGGAGACGAUGAACCCCAGGAGCAUGCCUCGAGGGACUCCGAAGACACACUUCUCGGGAUCGAGUUUUACGCCCUUUGCACGCAGGCACCCGAAAGUUACUUCGAGGUCGGAGAGGGGGUCGGAGGCCUUUCUUGUUUUGACAACGAUGUUAUCGACAUAAGCCUCGACCGUUCUGCCGAUGUGCUCCCCGAACACAUGGUUCAUGCACCUUUGGUAGGUUGCACCUGCAUUCCUCAAGCCAAAUGGCAUAGUAGUAUAACAAUACAUGCCAAAAGGUGUGAUAAAAGAAGUCGCGAGCUGGUUGGACUCUUUCAUCUUGAUUUGGUGGUAGCCUGAAUAGGCGUCGAGGAAUGACAGGGUUUCGCACCCAGCAGUGGAGUCCACAAUUUGAUCGAUGCGAGGCAGAGGGUAGGGAACCUUCGGACAUACUUUAUUCAACCGAGUGUAGUCUACGCACAUCCUCCAUUUCCCACCUUUCUUCUUUACAAGCAUAGGGUUAGCUAACCAUUCUGGAUGGAAUACCUCUUUGAUGAACCCUGCAGCCAUUAGCUUGUGGACCUCCUCGCCUAUGGCUCUGUGCUUUUCUUCAUCAAAACGGCGCAGAUGCUGCUUCAUGGGUCGGGCACCGGCUCUGAUGUCUAGCGAGUGCUCGGCGACAUCCCUCGGUAUGUCGGGCAUGUCUGAGGGACUCCACGCAAAAAAUUCAGCGUUUGCGCGGAGAAAGUCGACGAGCACUACUUCCUAUUUGGGGUCGAGCUCAGAGCCGAUCCUAACUUUCUUGCCGGCGUCGUUGCUGGGGUCGAGAGGGACAAACUUAACCGCCUCGGCUGGUUCGAAGUUGCCGGCGUGGCACUUCGCAUCUGGCGCCUCCUUGGAGAGGCAAUCCAGGUUGGCGAUGAGGGCCUCGGACUCGGCGAUGGCCUCAGCGUACUCCACGCAUUCUACGUCGCACUCGUAAGCGUGGCGGUACGUGGAUCCGACAGUGAUGUUUCCCUUGAGGCCUGGCAUCUUGAGCUUGAGGUACGUGUAGUUGGGGACGGCCAUGAACUUGGCGUAGCACAGUCUUCCCAGCACCACGUGGUAGGUCCCUCGGAACCCAACCACCUCGAAAGUGAGGGUUUCCUUUUGGAAGUUGGAGGGAGUUCCGAAGCAAACGGGCAAAUCAAGUUGCCCAAGGGGCAGGACGCGCUUACCGGGGACGAUCCCGUGAAAAGGUGCUGCACCGGCCCGGAUCGUGGACAGAUCGACCCCCAAGAGCCCUAGGGUCUCGGCGUAGAUGAUGUUGAGGCUGCUGCCUCCAUCCAUGAGGACCUUGGUGAGCCUAGCGUUGCCGAUGACAGGGUCGACGACGAGCGGGUACCUUCCUGGGCUCGGUACGUAGUCGGGGUGGUCGCCUUGGUCGAAGGUGAUGGGCUUGUCGGACCAGUCUAGGUAGACCGGCGCCGCUACCUUCAUCGAGUAGACCUCCCGGCGCUCCUGCUUGUGGUGUCGAGCCGAAGCAUUCGCCACUUGCCCGUCGUAGAUCAUGAAGCAGUUAUGGGCCUUCGGGAACUCCUCUUCCUUGUCACCCCCUUCUUGUUGUUGCCUUGGUCCUUGCCGCCUUCUGCCGAGGGUCCCGCCUUGUUGAAGUAACGCCGGAGCAUGUCGCAUUCUUCAAGGGUGUGCUUGACGGGACCCCUGUGAUAGGGGCACGACUCCUUGAGCAUCUUGUCGAACAUGUUGGCCCCUCCGGGAGGCUUCCGAGGAUUCCUGUGCUCGGCAGCAGCGACGAGAUCCGCGUCAACGGCGUCGCGUUUUGCUUGCGCCUUCUUCCUGGUCUUCUUCUUCGUGCAACGCGGGGCGGACGCCUCAGGGGCAUCUUCCUUCUGUCUUCCCUAAGGCUGCUUGUCCUUCCGGAAGAUGGCUUCGACCGCCUCCUGACCAGAGGCGAACUUGGUGGCUAUGUCCAUCAAUUCGCUCGCCUUGGUGGGAGUCUUGCGUCCCAGUUUGCUCACCAGGUCUCAGCAAGUGGUGCCGGUGAGGAAUGCCCCAAUGACGUCCGAGUCGAUGAUGUUGGGCAGCUCGGUGCGCUGCUUUGAAAACCGCUAGAUGUACUCUCGUAGGGAUUCCCCUGGCUGCUGGCGGCAGCUUCGGAGAUCCCAUGAGUUCCCAGGGCAUACAUACAUACCUUGGAAAUUUCCAGCGAAGGCCUUGACUAGGUCGUCCCAGUCGGAGAUCUGCGUAGGAGGCAGAUGCUCUAGCCAGGCCCGGGCAGCGUCAGAGAGGAAAAGGGGGAGGUUGCGGAUGACGAGGUUGUCGUCGUCCGUCCCUCCCAACUGGCACGCCAGCCGGUAAUUCGCAAGCCACAACUCCGGCCUUGUCUCCCCUGAGUACUUGGUGAUGGUAGUCGGGGCUCGGAACCGGGCCGGGAACGGCGCCUGUCGUAUGGCCUAGCUGAAGAAUCGCGGACCUGGUGGUUCGGGCGAGGGGCUCCGAUCCUCCUCACUGUCGUAGCGUCCUCCGCGCCUAGGGUGGUAGCCUCGGCGCACCCUUUCCUCAAGGCGGGCUUGACGGUCGCGGCGGUGUUGUUCGCUGCCGAGGCGGUCCUGGGCUGCAGGCGUCCCGUCCUGUGUGCGCUCGGUGUGGACCGAGGCCUCCCGCAUGCGUCGGGAGGACGUUGCGCGAUGCUCCGAGGGGCACCCUCGCCUUCGGGAGGCAGAGCUUUCGGCUCGUCGGACUGCGGCAUCUUCCAGGAGAUCCUUGAGUUCGCCCUGGAUACGCCGCCCCUCGGUGGUGGAUGGCUCCGGCAUUGUUCGAAGUAAGAUCGCCGCUGCAGCUAGGUUCUGGCCGGCCCCGCUGAAGGCCGGGGGCAGCCCUGCCCUGGCAUCAUCAACGAUACGGCGCUGGACGUCCCAGGCCCGAUGACGCGCUCCUCCGGCGAGUGCUCGGCCUGCCCACUCCUGCUCGAUGUUUUGUCGGAGCUGCACAAGCCGCCCCACUUCUUUGUCGAGCUUGGCUUGCAUCUCGCGGAGUUGCUCGAGUUGUGUGUCCUGACCCCCCGCAGGGACUCGGACCACAGCUAGCUCCCGCGGGAUCUCAACGCGAGACGCAGGCGCAGAGGCGUCGUCGUUCUCGGGCAUGCCGAGGCGGUCGUCUUUGUCGUGAUCCCCCUGAUCGAUGUGGAAACACUCGCAACUUGGGUCGUAACCCUCGUCGUCAAGGCUGCGACCAUCGUCAGAGCAACCGGAGAGGCAGUAGUCACAUGCGGACAUGAAGUCUCGCAUGGCACUGGGAUCACUCAGUCCGGAGAAAUCCCAACCGAAGUCGGGGUCGUCCUCUUCCUCAGAACCCGCGGGUCUGUAGGUUGAGACGGCCGUCAGUUGGUCCCAGAUUGACCACAUAUGGUACCCUGGAAGGUCAGGAUAUGCCCUCGCGAAAGCGCUCACUGAAGAGGGGUCGCUUGGUGGAUCGAAGCUGAAUCUAAAGGGAACAGGGUGGAAGACUGAUGGUACCUCCUCAUCGAUGGACGGUGGUGAAGUCGCAUCGGGGACGAAGUGCGUCGUUAUCUCAGGUGCGAGACAAAUGCCCGACAAGUCCCUCGCAAGGGUGCCAGCGUCAUUAGUCCGCUUGAGGUUGGCACGUUGUUGGGAAGCGACACCCGUCGUUGUCUCAGGUGCGAGGACAACUCCCAACAUGUCCCCCCGCAGGGGUGCCGACGUCGUCGACUCGCUUUGGUCCGACAGCCGACGAGGUGCCGCCUCUUGCCUAGCCACGGUUGCCCCGUCUUCUCCUCCUCCGGCGGAGAGUGGCGGGACAAACCCGGGUGUUCGUCUUCCACCACGGGGGAAAGUCGUCGUCGAGUUCGCCGCCGCCGGGCGAGCCGAUGACCGUCAUUGUUGUCGUGCUACGAGGGGAGGAGUACCAUGUCGUAGCUGCCGUCGUGGGACAUGAACUCGAGACUCCCGAAGCGGAGCACCGUCCCGGGCUGAAGAGGCUGCUGAAGACUGUCCAUCUGGAACUCAACGGGAAAGUGUUUGUCAACACGUAGCAGGCCCCUACCUGGCACGCCAACUGUCGGCGUUUUGGACCUGCAAGGACCCUCAACUGACUAGUGAAUUUGUCGCUGCGUGUCCCUGCCCAGAUGGGUUGAUGCAAGAUGGAAUACAAGAGGGAGGAUGAGGCUUAUAUUAUCUUGCACCGGGGUGCUCGUAGUAGGGGUUACAAGCGUCGCGCGAGAGAGAGAGAGUCUGGCCCUGAGGUGAGUUGUCUGAGUUAGCCUCCUCUGUGUUUCUCCUACUCUGCCUGCCUCUGCUCUCCUCCGCCUUUUUUCCUCUGCCCCUUAGGAAGGCCCUGGACAUCCCCUUUUAUAGAUACAAGGAGAUGGCCCAGCUGUACAAUGGGGGUGUAGCUAUGUGCUAACGUGGCCAUCGGAGAAGUGCCUGAGCCCUGUAUAUGUGCUAACGUGGAUGUCGGAGAAGUGCUUGAGCCCUGUAGAAGCGUAGCUGAUGGGGCGGCCUGGGGUCCUGCUGACGUUUCUUUGCUUUCGUAGAGGCUUGAGAACAAUCCGACGUCAUGGACGCACGCGGGGAACCAUCAUUACCUGUUACCGGAGUAAUCUAGAUGGGACACCGGUCUUGUUCCUUGGUAGCCUGAGGCAGCUAGCUAGGGGUAGGGUAAUGAUGUAUAUGUAUCCCCUGUGGCGCGGUCGAUCCGAGCCCGAGGUCGGGCGAGGCGGAGACUUCUCCCGAGGCCGAGGCCGAGGUCGGGCGAGGAUGUGACUCCUCCCGAGCCUGAGGCUGAGGCCGAGGCCUGGGGUCGGGCGAAGCGGAGACCUUCUCCCGAGGCUGAGGCCGAGGCCUGAGGUCGGGCGAGGCGGAGCUCCCUGUUGCGCCCGAGGCUGAAUUCGGGGGAGAUCGUGACUCAGUUUUACCCUGGUGCUUGGCACAGUAGUCGGAACGGGGUGAAUAGCGAUGUUUUCCUGUCGGAACAGUUAGUAAAGGGGCGAAGUGACUGCGGUCACUUCGACCUUGCCGACUGAGGCGCGUGUGUCAGGAUAAGGUGUCAGGCGAUCCCCGCAUUAAAUGCGCAUGCGAUACGGUCGGUUGGUAAGGUGAUUUGGCCGAGGUCGCUGUACGACAAAGUCUGCCCGAGCUUGGCUUCGGGCGAGCCGAGGGUGCGCCCACUGCCUGAGGAUGCCCUCGGGCGAGGCGUGAAUCCGUCUGGGACUACUGCUCUUGCCCGAGGCUGGGCUCGGAUGAGAUCGCGUCCCUUGGUAGACGAGUCCUUGACUUGAACCGUGUUUAUCAGUCUUUACGGUUUGUUCUGAAGAUGUUUUCCAGCCAGGUUAAGGAGCAUUGGGGGUACCCCUAAUUACGGUACCCGGCAAGUUUAUAAUACAUUUGAGUAUAGAUACAUAUCGACGCACCUAAGUUGGAGAAGGUGUUGUAUCAUGUAAUCCUGAGAUAUCAGCGGCUAAAAUUGAGGGAAAAUGAAUGAUUGUUGUGGUUGCUCUGAAAACCAAGACUGUUGCAAAUAUAGUAUAUUAGUUAUAGGACAAAUAUACGACCGUGUUGAGAAUAAAUGAGACACUCACGUUCACUUUUUUGUUGCGCCUGUGCGUUGUAAGCAGCAAUGUACUCUGAUUGUUGUCAGAUGAAUGCCAUUUUCUCUUAUCGCAACUCUUCAUGAAACCUUCCUUGCUGCUCCCUUAUUGUCACACCCGGUUUUGGAAGGUAAACCGAAUGCGAACCAUGUACGUGCCAGGAUCAGAAAUUCACGUACACGGCGAUUACAUAAAUGACUCAUCAUAGCACAAUGCUUCGAAUAACAAUAAAGAUAAGUAAUAAUAUGAAAGACUAGAGUCAUUUACAUAAUAUAACCAAAGUACACAGAACAGAAACGUAGCCAACGUAAAUAAACCCACCACAGGCAGCUGACUGGGGGAGGUCGCUAGCCUAAUCCUCAAACUCGCCGAAGUCCUGAAACUCCCGGAGAUCCGCCUCGACGCCUUCUUCUUUACUUGAGCAUAGAUUGCACCAAAGGCAACAUGGUGUUUUGUGAAAGCAAGGGUGAGUACACAUCAACGUACUCAGCAAAUGCCCCGUUUGGCUGAAGUGGACUAGCUUUUUAUGUGGGGUUAAGCUCAAGCAGUUGCUUUUAGUUGGUCAGGUAUUUAUUAUCAGUGGAAGCCAAGUUUUAGUAAUAACCAACCCGUGAACCAUUUCCUCAUCGAGGAAACAUCAUUAUCAUCAUCGAACCAAAAUCAUAAAUAGAACCAUAACAUCUUGAACCAUCUGUAUCUCUAAUCAAAGAGGAUCCCAAGGCCGCUCAUAACCGUGAGCAUGGCUGAUAUAUCAGUUUCACUACCCUCUGCAGAGGUCGCACACUUUACCCAUGAGUCGUGAUUCCCAUUUUGCCCGGGGAUCAUGACUCCCCAUUGAUCACUUCCUAGGUGGUCCGGCAGGGUAUCACUACGUAGCUUUUACAAAGAUUCCCUAGAGGUCAUAGCCGCCUGUUAGGUUUCUCCAGUUUGAUAAACACAGUACCCCUCCCCGCAGGAGAGUGACUAACCAAAAAGCAAAACGAAAGAACCUCGGCACUCAGCCUCGGCAGAGCAAGCACUGUGCUUGGACCCCAUUGACGACACGACGGCGAAGCAACUACACCUCUAGUUCCUCUAAUUAAUUAGCUAAGGGCAUCACAUUUCACCCUCAUGGUUGCACUGUUAUCCCGGGUGGUCUCUCAACGAACAGGUCCUUACGGAGAGGUACUCGGGAAACAGCCCGAGUCCCCUAAAUGCCACAAGUAUAUCAUCAUAUCCAGAAUAAAAUCAUAGUAUCAUCAUUGUAUCUCAUCUUGUUCAUUGAUUAAAGUAAAGCGCUAGCAUGUAGCUAACCAUAACACGCACGACAGGCGAGAGAACUAAAUAGGUGACGUGUUUAUACUAAACAAGUAUUAAUAAGAAUAUUUAAUUCGAUAUAAUUAUAUUAAUUAGCAUUUAUGAAAUAUAGAUUAAAGCUACUUAGUUUUGACUAACUUACUGUUUUUAUUGUGGAUGAUUAAAUAAAUAAAUAAUUAACUGACAUGAGUGAUUAUAAGGGAAUAGUUUAAUCUCGCGCGCGGACAACGCGCGAUACGCGCGAACGGCGUGGCAAGGCGCGCGACACACGCGAACGGCGCGCGGCAACACGUGCGAACAAUACGCGCGACACUCGCGAGUGAUGUGCGACGAAGCGGACAAACAACGCGUGACGACACGCGCGGCAGCGCGCGAAACGGCACGCGGCAACACGUGAAACAGCAUGGCGCGUGAACGACACGCAUGACACGCGCGAAGCAACGCACGUGACACUCAAGAAUAACAUAUUGAUGCCAUGUUUAUACUAAGAAUCUAUUAAUUUAAAAUGGUUGAGUUGACAUUAAUCAUAUUAACAUGUAUUUAAAAAACAAAAAUUAAAACUAUACAUUAGGUUUAAUUGGAAGGUCAUUUUUAAUAACUACCGAACGAACAAUUAAUUAAUUAGUUAAAUAAACAUGUGUCAUGACCAAAUAGUACUUUCAAUGAGUAUACAAUAUUAUUGCGAAGUUGACACAACUAAAACGAGUCGAAAUAAGUUUACGAUGCAAAAGAUAUUGAAUACUUAAUCAGCCACAGUUUACUACGAUCUGACGCAAUUCUAUUGGCUGAUGGCUUACCACACUGAGAGCCACACAAAGAAAAGCCACAAAGCAUCCUGGGAUCUAGCUAGAUCGUGGUGCACUAGGAGAUUGAAACGUGGCCAUGAAUCAUGGGAAUAGACUAACGGUUCCCUUUUCUGGCUUCUUCAACCCACGAACACAUAUUUUCCUCUCUCCUACACCUUUGACGGAACGAGUGGUUGCAAAGCACGGGGGUCGCAUGGGAGGCAGGGCACGGCUGGGUGGGCUCGCCGGCGAGCGGGGCUUACGGUGGCGAUUGGGCGCGCAGGGGCUCUGCCCAGGCCGUUGCGCCUGGCAGCAGGCCGGCUAGCUGUGCCGUCGUGCCGAGGCUGGCGGUUCGGUCAGCCAUGGCCGCGAAGGGCGUUGUAGGGAGGGGCUGCAAGGGUAGACGCACGACCACACAACAGAGAGAGCGAGGACGGCUCAGCCGACUUCGCCGGGGAAGCGCGAAUGACGAUGGAUCGCCAUUGCCACAGCUCGGACGAGGCAAAGAAAACAAAAGAGAUGGCCACGCUCUGUACUCUCACCUUGCGACGAACUCGAUGAGGGAGAAUCACGGGCGUAGCCUUCUCCGGGCAUGGCAACGCGUAGCUUGGUGGCGAGCGCAACUCCAGGACUGCUAUGCAACUGAACUGCAGGGGGCUUGAAGUCCGAGCAACGUGGGCGGGCCAUGAUGGAGUGGGGGCUAGUUUCCUUGGCGUUCGGAUGCACGGGGCUGAGGCAGUUGUGAAGGGGGAAGCAAGGAGAUGAUAUGGGGGCCCGCUGCGCAAACAACGACUGGGCGAGGGGAGGCUCACGCGGCUCGAGCAGCCACGCGUGUGUCCACGUGCAACAGGGUGCGCCGGGCUGAGGGAAAAAGGUGAGGAGAGGAAAUUUGUUUUCCCUUUUUUUAUUCUUUUUCUUUGUUUUUUAUAGGUAUAGAUAUAUGUAUUUAUAUAUAUAUAUAUGAACAUAUUUAUUUAUUAUUUGAUCAUCCAAAAGUAAUAUUUUUUCUGAACGGGAACACCCUAAGACUAUUGUAGCAAACAAGAAGUUGUGCCUCGACAUGAGAAACACACAUGUAAUCAAAAUAGUACCUAUGUAUUCCAGAUAACUAUCCCUUAUUUAGAAAAAGAAAAGAAAAGCAAGGAAAAGAGAGGGUAACACCUGAAUAUGGUGGGUAUUAGAAAAGAAAUUUUAUACCCUAAUUUCAGGGUGUUACAAAUCUAACCCCCUUAACAGGAAUCUCGCCCCCGAGAUUCAAGAAGAGGUUAGCAAGAACGACUAGGUUGGUUCUUAGGUUGUCCACGACUUUCUUGAGCUGACUUUGACUCUGUAAGCUUAACUUGGGGACUAGUUUGCUUUGACUUUCAGAUGCUUGAGACCGAUCGAUGCAAUUCUUGAGGAUCUCUUGGACCUAUGGGUUAGGACCCACACAUGCUUUCGCUGCACCAGUUUGAUCUUAUUGGUUGAGAUUGAACACAUUGUCUUCAUUGGAGUUAUCGGCUAACCCCCUUAACAGGAGCGUUGAUAUGCACUUGGUGAAGAUGCUGCCGACUCUGAUCUUGACUGAUUUGGAGGAGCUAGAGGUUGCCAAAUGGACAGGUGCAAAAGGAAAGAAUAACGAGAAAAGGUAAGUAAAGACGGAUUAGAGAGAGCAGGGGAGAACCCAACUACUUAACUCUAUGACACUCACCUAGUAAACUGAUGCCAUUGCGGACCAAAGGCCACAACACAGCAACACUCAUUUCAAAGAAGCAAAUCAGUCAUAGCACAAAGACAAACAUCACGAGCACACAUCAACAACAUCUUGUUGCUAUACGUUCCUUUUAAGUCAUGGUGGAUCUUUCUUAAAAAGGGAGAUAACUACUCUCUAGGGUUUUUCGAAGGAGGAGGAGAAGAAUAAUACAUGCUGGAUAGGGACACGAGCACAAUAAAGGAUGGAGUUUAAGCAAGGAUUGUAAUCGACAAGGGAGAAAAUGCAACCAAGGGCAGGGUAGGUAAACACCAUUCUCAAAUCGAGAUGGGAAAGAUGCUAAUUCGAAAGGUAGGCAUAAGAAAAGCAUCAUGGAAGGAUCCAGUGAUUACAAAGGUACAGGAGGUAACAGACGAAAGCACAUCAAAAGAUCGAGUUAAGACAAGACUUGCCACGCGACAGAGGAAAAAGGGGACGAACCAGAGCGGGGAGGGGUAAGACAACACUCUUUAAAUGAAAUGGGAGAGGCAGCUUUAAAAUGCAGGUACAAGAUAAGCAUCAAUGUAAAGAUCGAGUGACAAGGGUUAAGGUGAUAACAGACAAACACACAACAGGGUGUGUAUUUGAGGAAAAACUUGCAAGGUGUCAAAAAAGGGGGGCAAUCAGUGGUGAAGUAGGUGAGGCAUUAUCCUCGAACAGGGAUGGAAAAGAGGAGGCUUUAAAGGGUAGGUUCAAAGUAAGCGUGAAGGUAAAGAUAUAGAUAUUGCAAGGGUUAAAGGUGACAACGGACAAGAAUGUAAGAGAGGAGGUAAAUGGUCAUAAGAACAAAGAAUAUAAGUGCCCUAAAGGAUGGAGUUAAGACAGGGCCUGCAAAUGAAAAAGACGGGCCAGACAAGUAAAUUGCCACUCCCAAAUUGCGGUGGAAGAGAGGAGAUUUUUAAAGAUCAAGAAUAAAGAUGAGUAUCAAGGCAAGAUCGAUGGAUGGCAAGGUGAUGGUGAUAGCAAAUAAAAACACCGCAAAGGAUGGUAUUAACACAAAACUUGUAAGGCGACAAGAAGUGAGAAGAAAUCAAGGGAGAGAUAGGUAACUCGCAACUCUCAAACUUUCUCAAAAUAAAGGAGAGGCUUUUAAAGGAUAAGUUUAAGGUAAGCAUUUAGGUAGAUGACAUAAAUAUCGUAAGGGUCAAAGGCAAUAACAGACAAGAGUAUAGGAGAAAAGGUGAAGGCAUAGAAGAGCUAGUGGUAUAAGUACAAUAAAGAAUGGAGGUAUGUCAAGGCUUACACGCGGUAAAGAAUAGGACAUUGCCAAGGAUGAGAUAAGUAAAACACCGUUCUCAAAUUGGGAUAGGAGAUUGGAGAUUUUAGAUAACAAAAAUAAUGUAAUCACCAAGGUAACAUUGAGAGAUGGGAUAGGUGGAUGCAGUAACAAACAAAAGCACAGCAAAGGACGAAGUUACAAACUCGCAAGCCAAAGAAGAGGAUGUGACCAAGGUAAAGAUAGGUAAAGUAUAGCUCUCAGAACAAGACGGGAGAGAGGUGAUUUUAAAGGCAGGUAUGAGACAAACAUCAAGUAAGAUAUAGAGGUGUCAAAGGUAAAGGUGAUAAUAAUGAAAAGCACAAGGAUAGAGUUCAGGCAAGACUCGCUAGGUGGCGAAGUGGAGAAAACAGUCAAGGGUAAGAUAGGUAAGGUUGCAACAAAAUGGUUGAAGUAAAGAAAAUUAAUUACCAAGUGGAGUUACAAGGAGACAACAAGAUUACCAAGGAUAUGCAAAAUAAAAUGACCGCUCAUGGAUCAUGAAGAAACAAAGGUGGUCAAGGGCAUAUUAACUAAAAUGUCUUAAACAGAAAUUGGGAUAUAAAGGUAAGCAUAUAUAAAAAUAUGAGUAUGCAAGAUUCCAAUGGUACGAGCAUACCAAGACCAAGAGAGUACAAAUUGCCAAAAAGAUAGCGACUUAACAAUAGAAUAGGAAAGGGUUUCAAAAGACAGUAAGAUCAUGGACAUAUAAUCUGAAAUGUUUAAAUAGACAGCAUGGUUUUUUUAUUAGAGGUAGGCAUUGAAACAGGAGUAUUGAAUAGUCUAGGAGCACGAGCAUGUCAAUACCCAAGGAAUAGAGAUGGUCAAAUGGUAGCAAUUUAAUAAUGGAUGAGGAAAGAGUCCCAAAAGACUAAAGGCUAUGGUCAGGGGGCAUCUACAAAGAUGUCGCAAGCACAAGAUGAGAUCAGAUCUAAUAGAUUGAGAGAAGUAUAGACCAUACUAGAAUAAAAUACUUUUUGGCAACAGGGCAUAUAGGAGCACAACAUAGAAUUAGUCGAGGUGACUAAUAUUUUGAAGCAGAAUCAAGGAUGAGAUGAGGUAAUAAUCAAUAAGUCCUUAAAACGGCCAAUGCUACUCUAGGUCAGCGGUCCUAUAGUCAGCACGGCUUUGAUACCACUUAUGUCACACCCGGUUUUGGAAGGUAAACCGAAUGCGAACCAUGUACGUGCCAGGAUCAGAAAUUCACGUACACAGCGAUUACAUAAAUGACUCAUCAUAGCACAAUGCUUCGAAUAACAAUAAAGAUAAGUAAUAAUAUGAAAGACUAGAGUCAUUUACAUAAUAUAACCAAAGUACACAGAACAGAAACGUAGCCAACGUAAAUAAACCCACCACAGGCAGCUGACUGGGGGAGGUCGCUAGCCUAAUCCUCAAACUCGCCGAAGUCCUGAAACUCCCGGAGAUCCGCCUCGACGCCUUCUUCUUUACUUGAGCAUAGAUUGCACCAAAGGCAACCUGGUGUUUUGUGAAAGCAAGGGUGAGUACACAUCAACGUACUCAACAAAUGUCCCGUUUGGCUGAAGUGGACUAGCUUUUUAUGUGGGGUUAAGCUCAAGCAGUUGCUUUUAGUUGGUCAGGUAUUUAUUAUCAGUGGAAGCCAAGUUUUAGUAAUAACCAACCCGUGAACCAUUUCCUCAUCGAGGAAACAUCAUUAUCAUCAUCGAACCAAAAUCAUAAAUAGAACCAUAGCAUCUUGAACCAUCUGUAUCUCUAAUCAAAGAGGAUCCCAAGGCCGCUCAUAACCGUGAGCACGGCUGAUAUAUCAGUUUCACUACCCUCUGCAGAGGUCGCACACUUUACCCAUGAGUCGUGAUUCCCGUUUUGCCCGGGGAUCAUGACUCCCCAUUGAUCACUUCCUAGGUGGUCCGGCAGGGUAUCACUACGUAGCUUUUACAAAGAUUCCCUAGAGGUCAUAGCCGCCUGUUAGGUUUCUCCAGUUUGAUAAACACAGUACCCCUCCCCGCAGGAGAGUGACUAACCAAAAAGCAAAACGAAAGAACCUCGGCACUCAGCCUCGGCAGAGCAAGCACUGUGCUUGGACCCCAUUGACGACACGACGGCGAAGCAACUACACCUCUAGUUCCUCUAAUUAAUUAGCUAAGGGCAUCCCAUUUCACCCUCAUGGUUGCACUGUUAUCCCGGGUGGUCUCUCAACGAACAGGUCCUUACGGAGAGGUACUCGGGAAACAGCCCGAGUCCCCUAAAUGCCACAAGUAUAUCAUCAUAUCCAGAAUAAAAUCAUAGUAUCAUCAUUGUAUCUCAUCAUAUUCAUUGAUUAAAGUAAAGCGCUAGCAUGUAGCUAACCAUAGUAACCCAAAAGGUAAAUCAAGGACAAGGUAAAUAGAAAGCUAGUAAAUCUUUAGGUUGUUCAUAGUAUGCGGGACAAUGUAUUAUAAAGUAAAUGGGACAUGAUGGGUCAGAGGACACUUGCCUUCACCAAACAGAUGAUCAGGGUCUUCGAUCUCGUAGAACUCGAAGAACUGGAUCAUUUGGUCGCCGAAGCUUGAUCGUCGAUUCCUCGAUGCUUGGAAACAGAUCGCAAUCUAUUCGCAACGCGUAGCGAAUACAAACAAGAACAAACAAUCAAACACAUAUAUACGCAUAAGAACAUUACACCAUACAAGAUAAAAUGUAAUAAAACAUUAAAUACGAAAAGGAACGUGUUACUAUGGUCACGCGAGGAAAAAGAAACGCGACAGUCGAAGCUACGGUCGAGAAGUUAUCGCGUUUACGCUAAACGAAUAUAAAAUAGGACAUUUAAUUCGGUGUUAUCGAAUAUAAAUUAUAACUACUAUUUAAUUAGAGCGAGAGAUUCUAGGCGAGACGAAUUUACAAUGCGCGAAACAAUACAACAGCGUGUAGACGACGCGCAGACAAGCGCGACAAAGCACACGAACGCCGCAUGAGACAGUGCGCGCGACAAGCGUGAACGACGCGCGAACCGGCACGUCACCACAUGUGGAAUAACACGCACGACAGGCGAGAGAACUAAAUAGGUGACGUGUUUAUACUAAACAAGUAUUAAUAAGAAUAUUUAAUUCGAUAUAAUUAUAUUAAUUAGCAUUUAUGAAAUAUAGAUUAAAGCUACUUAGUUUUGACUAACUUACUGUUUUUAUUGUGGAUGAUUAAAUAAAUAAAUAAUUAACUGACAUGAGUGAUUAUAAGCGAAUAGUUUAAUCUCGCGCGCGGACAACGCGCGAUACGCGCGAACGGCGCGGCAAGGCGCGCGACACACGCGAACGGCGCGCGGCAACACGUGCGAACAAUACGCGCGACACUCGCGAGUGAUGUGCGACGAAGCGGACAAACAACGCGUGACGACACGCGCGGCAGCGCGCGAAACGGCACGCGGCAACACGUGAAACAGCAUGGCGCGUGAACGACACGCAUGACACGCGCGAAGCAACGCACGUGACACUCAAGAAUAACAUAUUGAUGCCAUGUUUAUACUAAGAAUCUAUUAAUUUAAAACUGUUGAGUUGACAUUAAUCAUAUUAACAUGUAUUUAAAAAACAUAAAUUAAAACUAUACAUUAGGUUUAAUUGGAAGGUCAUUUUUAAUAACUACCGAACGAACAAUUAAUUAAUUAGUUAAAUAAACAUGUGUCAUGACCAAAUAGUACUUUCAACGAGUAUACAAUAUUAUUGCGAAGUUGACACAACUAAAACGAGUCGAAAUAAGUUUACGAUGCAAAAGAUAUUGAAUACUUAAUCAGCCACAGUUUACGACGAUCUGACGCAAUUCUAUUGGCUGAUGGCUUACCACACUGAGAGCCACACAAAGAAAAGCCACAAAGCAUCCUGGGAUCUAGCUAGAUCGUGGUGCACUAGGAGAUUGAAACGUGGCCAUGAAUCAUGGGAAUAGACUAACGGUUCCCUUUUCUGGCUUCUUCAACCCACGAACACAUAUUUUCCUCUCUCCUACACCUUUGACGGAACGAGUGGUUGCAAAGCACGGGGGUCGCAUGGGAGGCAGGGCACGGCUGGGUGGGCUCGCCGGCGAGCGGGGCUUACGGUGGCGAUUGGGCGCGCAGGGACUCUGCCCUGGCCGUUGCGCCUGGCAGCAGGCCGGCUAGCUGUGCCGUCGUGCCGAGGCUGGCGGUUCGGUCAGCCAUGGCCGCGAAGGGCGUUGUAGGGAGGGGCUGCAAGGGUAGACGCACGACCACACAACAGAGAGAGCGAGGACGGCUCAGCCGACUUCGCCGGGGAAGCGCGAAUGACGAUGGAUCGCCAUUGCCACAGCUCGGACGAGGCAAAGAAAACAAAAGAGAUGGCCACGCUCUGUACUCUGACCUUGCGACGAACUCGAUGAGGGAGAAUCACGGGCGUAGCCUUCUCCGGGCAUGGCAACGCGUAGCUUGGCGGCGAGCGCGACUCCAGGACUGCUAUGUAGUUGAACUGCAGGGGGCUUGAAGUCCGAGCAACGUGGGCGGGCCAUGAUGGAGUGGGGGCCAGUUUCCUUGGCGUUCGGAUGCACGGGGCUGAGGCAGUUGUGAAGGGGGAAGCAAGGAGAUGAUAUGGGGGCCCGCUGCGCAAACAACGACUGGGCGAGGGGAGGCUCACGCGGCUCGAGCAGCCACGCGUGUGUCCACGUGCAACAGGGUGCGCCGGGCUGAGGGAAAAAGGUGAGGAGAGGAAAUUUGUUUUCCCUUUUUUUAUUCUUUUUCUUUGUUUUU
This 30700-nucleotide long non-coding RNA is filed under the name Zea mays. RNAcentral's name for it is "long non-coding RNA (ZMAY_LNC001890)". The record is from RNAcentral. Lineage: Eukaryota; Viridiplantae; Streptophyta; Magnoliopsida; Poales; Poaceae.